Molecule: ribosomal RNA, 452 nt
Filed under: uncultured organism
Description: partial 16S ribosomal RNA
Rfam family: Bacterial small subunit ribosomal RNA
Source: RNAcentral
ACACUCCCGCGGGAGGCAGCAGUGGGGAAUAUUGGACAAUGGGCGCAAGCCUGAUCCAGCCAUGCCGCGUGAGUGAUGAAGGCCCUAGGGUUGUAAAGCUCUUUUGUGCGGGAAGAUAAUGACGGUACCGCAAGAAUAAGCCCCGGCUAACUUCGUGCCAGCAGCCGCGGUAAUACGAAGGGGGCUAGCGUUGCUCGGAAUCACUGGGCGUAAAGGGUGCGUAGGCGGGUCUUUAAGUCAGGGGUGAAAUCCUGGAGCUCAACUCCAGAACUGCCUUUGAUACUGAAGAUCUUGAGUUCGGGAGAGGUGAGUGGAACUGCGAGUGUAGAGGUGAAAUUCGUAGAUAUUCGCAAGAACACCAGUGGCGAAGGCGGCUCACUGGCCCGAUACUGACGCUGAGGCACGAAAGCGUGGGGAGCAAACAGGAUUAGAAACCCUUGUAGUCCCAUGAU